UGUUCUGUGGCUUAGUUAGUUAAAGCGCCGGUCUAGCGAAUACGGAGUCGUGGGUUCGAAUCCCACCAGAACGC
Non-coding RNA from Aedes albopictus (Asian tiger mosquito), 74 nucleotides. The record is from Rfam. Lineage: Eukaryota; Metazoa; Arthropoda; Insecta; Diptera; Culicidae.